Molecule: ribosomal RNA, 373 nt
Filed under: uncultured bacterium
Lineage: Bacteria
Description: bacterial SSU rRNA
Rfam family: Bacterial small subunit ribosomal RNA
Source: RNAcentral
ACGGAGGGUGCGAGCGUUGUCCGGAAUCACUGGGCGUAAAGGGCGCGUAGGUGGUCUGCUAAGCGUGCGGUGAAAGCCUGGGGCUCAACCCCAGGUCUGCCGUGCGAACUGGUGGACUUGAGCACUGUAGAGGCAGGUGGAAUUCCGGGUGUAGCGGUGGAAUGCGUAGAGAUCCGGAAGAACACCGGUGGCGAAGGCGGCCUGCUGGGCAGUAGCUGACACUGAGGCGCGACAGCGUGGGGAGCAAACAGGAUUAGAUACCCUGGUAGUCCACGCCGUAAACGAUGGGGACUAGGUGCUUGGGGGAGCGACCCCUCGAGUGCCGGCGCUAACGCAUUAAGUCCCCCGCCUGGGGAGUACGGCCGCAAGGCUG